AGGGUUGUAGCUCAUGGUAGAGCACUUGCCUUGCAAGCAUGAGGCCUUGGGUUCAAUCCUCAGCACCACAU
Molecule: transfer RNA, 71 nt
Filed under: Urocitellus parryii (Arctic ground squirrel)
Lineage: Eukaryota; Metazoa; Chordata; Mammalia; Rodentia; Sciuridae
Also listed under: 1 other name
Description: Spermophilus parryii (Arctic ground squirrel) tRNA
Rfam family: tRNA
About the family: Transfer RNA (tRNA) molecules are approximately 80 nucleotides in length. Their secondary structure includes four short double-helical elements and three loops (D, anti-codon, and T loops). Further hydrogen bonds mediate the characteristic L-shaped molecular structure. tRNAs have two regions of fundamental functional importance: the anti-codon, which is responsible for specific mRNA codon recognition, and the 3' end, to which the tRNAs corresponding amino acid is attached (by aminoacyl-tRNA synthetases). tRNAs cope with the degeneracy of the genetic code in two manners: having more than one tRNA (with a specific anti-codon) for a particular amino acid; and 'wobble' base-pairing, i.e. permitting non-standard base-pairing at the 3rd anti-codon position.
Source: Rfam by way of RNAcentral